UCAGGAUGAACGCUAGCUACAGGCUAACACAUGCAAGUCGAGGGGCAUCAUGGAGUUGCUGCAAACUCUGAUGGCGACCGGCGCACGGGUGAGUAACGCGUAUCCAACCUUCCCUAUAGUAGAGGAUAGCCCGGCGAAAGUCGGAUUAAUACUCUAUGUUUUCCGUUGCAGACAUCUAAGAUGGAACAAAGGCUUGCCGCUAUAGGAUGGGGAUGCGUCUGAUUAGGUAGUCGGCGGGGUAACGGCCCACCGAGCCAUCGAUCAGUAGGGGUUCUGAGAGGAAGGUCCCCCACAUUGGAACUGAGACACGGUCCAAACUCCUACGGGAGGCAGCAGUGAGGAAUAUUGGUCAAUGGGCGAGAGCCUGAACCAGCCAAGUAGCGUGCAAGGGAUGACGGCCCUAUGGGUUGUAAACUGCUUUUAUGCGGGGAUAAAGUUCGCUACGUGUAGUGUUUUGUAGGUACCGCAUGAAUAAGGACCGGCUAAUUCCGUGCCAGCAGCAGC
RNAcentral lists this ribosomal RNA (504 nucleotides) under uncultured bacterium. Its description in RNAcentral is "bacterial SSU rRNA". It matches the Rfam family "Bacterial small subunit ribosomal RNA", at positions 24 to 518 of the family's 1533-position model. The record is from RNAcentral.